GGAUAGGCCCCUCGCUGCUUGACCAUUGGCCAGGGGCCCCUAUAAGGAGGGGUCCCUGCGCCACUUACCAGUCUCACAACACCGCUCCCACGCUCACAGCUUGAAUACACCCAGACGACACUCUACAUGGCGUCCGUGGUUCAUUGUGCGUCCUGCUACGGCCGCUGCAGUGUGCAGCCCUUGCAGCUGUUCGGCCGGGGGGGCGGCUUGGACUACAUGUCCAUGCUUACCUACCGGGGCCCUCGGAGUGCCCCGCGGCCCGGCCUGGCCUACAAAGGCCCCCGGAUGACCCUGCGGCAGAUCUGUCGCACGCUGAAGAGCAUGAAGCAGCUCAGGAAGAAGGAGGCGGCCUUGGCAGCGGCCAGGAAGCUGGCCCCCCCUGCCCCCCUCCUGAGACGCAGACGGAACAACGCCAUCAAACGGGCUAGCUGACCCAGGGACCCCCCCCCACCCCUCCCUCCAGGAGGAGCUCUGACCAGGUCUCUGGAGGAAGGGGUUCAGUCAUCUGUCGCUCGUGUCUGAGCUCAUGCUGCCUGCUGGAACGUUGACUUGUUGUCAUUGUUUCAUAAAUGUGGAGGAGGAGUCAGGGGUUAAUUGGAUUCAUUAUUUCAUUGAGAU
Molecule: long non-coding RNA, 618 nt
Filed under: Gadus morhua (Atlantic cod)
Lineage: Eukaryota; Metazoa; Chordata; Actinopteri; Gadiformes; Gadidae
Description: lncRNA (ENSGMOG00000024509.1)
Source: RNAcentral